UGCUGGUUGCUUAGUGGUUAGAGCGUUCGCCUUGGAUGUGGGAGAUCGCGGCUUGGAACACCGGCCCAAUCAU
Molecule: non-coding RNA, 73 nt
Organism: Potamilus streckersoni
Lineage: Eukaryota; Metazoa; Mollusca; Bivalvia; Unionida; Unionidae
Source: the annotation of a GenBank genome assembly